Long non-coding RNA from Trichechus manatus latirostris (Florida manatee), 288 nucleotides. RefSeq lists it as uncharacterized. The record is from RefSeq and is a predicted model, not a curated record. NCBI's taxonomy places the organism in Eukaryota, Metazoa, Chordata, Mammalia, Sirenia, Trichechidae. The transcript is spliced from 3 exons.
AUCCCGGAAGUUCACUGCUCUGAGCCAAGGUCCCCGCGGGACCGCACACCCACUCCUGUGCAGCUGUGGCGUCCGCCGAGGAGGGAGGAGCCCCAACUUCCAGCUGCAGACGUGGCCUGUCCUGGCGGCUCCUACAGGGAAGGCGUGGGUGGAACUUGUUUCUUGGAGGACCGAGGACCACACAGGGGGACACAUGCUUCACAUGCAUCCAAUAUAUAUGUGGACAUUCUGGGAAAACUCGCUUGCUGGCUCUGAAUCCUGCAUCCGGCUUGUCAUCAUCUGACCCCC